CUCUCAAUGCCUAAUUCAGCUUGCUUUCCUCUCUCUUCACUGCAGGCUAUUACUGUGACAGCCAGCAAGGCCCAGUCAUUGAUUUUACCCUUUACCCAUGCCCGCAAGGUUUUUACUGCCCACCAGGGACCCGCCAGAGCACUCAGCACCGCUGCCCUGCAGGAACCUUUGGGCCCAGGCAGAAACUGAAAACUAUCAAGGAAUGUCAAAGAUGCCCGCCGGGAAAAUACUGUGAAUUCUCUGGACUUGCUGCCCCAACAGGAGACUGUGCUGAGGGAUUCUGGUGCAAAAGUGGUGCCCAAGUAAGAARCCCCCGAGACAGAGAAUCAGGACUGCCUUGUCCYCCUGGUCAUUACUGUCCUGMAGGUACAGUGCUUUGCUAAGCAUAAUUUUUCUUAAUUCAUGUGAAGCAUGAGAUGGGAUUUCCUCACUCCAGUGCAAUUGACAUUGCCAGGUGCACCACUUCCAUUACAGUGCCCUCCUGGCACUUGGUCUGACAGUGAAGGUGGUAGGAAUUUGCAGGAGUGCCAGCCUUGCCCUGGGGGAUAUUACUGUAACAGCUCUGGACUGAGGGCCCCCUCAGGACGCUGCAGCCCAGGGUAUUACUGCGUCACUAGGGCCCAGACCCCAACACCUACUGAUGGCCUCUCGGGAGCUCCAUGUCCCAUUAGACACUUUUGCCCGCUUGGAUCCAGGAGUCCAGCUCCGUGCCCCGCUGGCUCCUACAUGCCACAGGCCCGUGGAGAGGAGUGCCUUGCUUGCCCAGAGGGUGAAUACUGUGUCCCUGGUGAGAAGCCACAGCCAUGUCCCCAAGGUUUCUACUGCCCCAGAGGAACAGGUUUAGACUGGCAGCCCUGCCCACCAGGUACUUACAGCCCUGAGCAAGGACAGGGAAGCAGAACCAGCUGCAGAGCUUGCGAUGGAGGGAAGUUCUGCCAGUAUCACAACGCAACUGCUGUGACUGGAGAGUGCUGGGAAGGUUACUAUUGUGCUCAAGGAUCUUACAAGCCUAACCCAGAUGCCAUGAUACAAGGCCAAGCUGGUCCCUGUCCUGCGGGCCAUUACUGUCCCCGAGGCACUUCUGUCCCCACACCAUGUCCUGUGGGAACUUUCAGCACAAGGAGCAGGUUGAGCUCAGAGACCCAGUGUUCCCCAUGUCUGCCCGGGCAUUACUGUGAUGCUGCUGGCCUUCCAGCCCCUACAGGACAGUGUGAAGAAGGAUUCUACUGCACACUGGGAUCCAUUCUUCCCMAA
Molecule: long non-coding RNA, 1254 nt
Filed under: Dromaius novaehollandiae (emu)
Lineage: Eukaryota; Metazoa; Chordata; Aves; Casuariiformes; Dromaiidae
Description: lncRNA (ENSDNVG00000014656.1)
Source: RNAcentral